GCCUGCUUAGCUCAGAGGUUAGAGCAUCGCAUUUGU
This 36-nucleotide transfer RNA is filed under the name Welwitschia mirabilis. RNAcentral describes it as "partial tRNA-Thr". The record is from RNAcentral. Lineage: Eukaryota; Viridiplantae; Streptophyta; Gnetopsida; Welwitschiales; Welwitschiaceae.